This 55-nucleotide transfer RNA is filed under the name Aplidium conicum. Its description in RNAcentral is "transfer RNA-Ser (AGY)". Lineage: Eukaryota; Metazoa; Chordata; Ascidiacea; Aplousobranchia; Polyclinidae. The record is from RNAcentral.
AAGUAAUUAUAUAUAUAAACUGCUAAUUUAUAUUUGUUUACGUAAAUCUUAUGUA